Molecule: long non-coding RNA, 1024 nt
Filed under: Monodelphis domestica (gray short-tailed opossum)
Lineage: Eukaryota; Metazoa; Chordata; Mammalia; Didelphimorphia; Didelphidae
Description: lncRNA (ENSMODG00000043194.1)
Source: RNAcentral
GCAGACUGAGAACUCAUGUGCAGAAAUUAGAAUUUUCAGUUCCCUGGAACUGGAAUACCCAGAAUGAAGACGAAGGACUCUGUACGCAUUAUGAUGUCCACUGCCAACUACGAACUGCCACUGGCAACACAUUCCGUUCCAGUUGGGAAAAGGAUUCUACUUUCUAAGGUACAACAAAAGUCACUUGCUUGGACCAAGAUGACACAGUAGUAAUCAGGAGUAGAGAUGGGGAAAGAACCCAGGAUACUCGAUAGGUCAGCUGCUUUCACUGAUGGGACAAAGCCCACAUUGUUUCACCUGUUUCCUAGUGAGUAGAUGAGCCACAAGGAGGACACGUGAAAGAUUUCUUGAGUUUAGUACACGGUAUUGAGGCCUCAGAAAGUGUUGAUGUGAACUCCUCCAGGAAAUAUCAGAAUUCUGAAGGGAGCCCUGGAAUUUCCCUACCACCAUCCAGCCACUAAAUGUUCCCUCUGUGCUCCACUUGAGCAUACUCAAGAUCUUCAAGCAGCUCUCCCAAAAGAACAAUAUCAAGAAAAGUCCUGAAAAGGAGGAGGAAGAACCUGCCAACCCAGGCUCUGCCUCUAGUUCAUUUUGAGAACUGGGUAAGCCAUUUUCCCUCCAACACAAAGGGAUUGGAUUUGCAUCAACUUUGUAAAGAGGUAGAAUUAGGGUUCAUGAAGAAAACUUCCUGAAAUGUAAAGUAAUCAAAAGUAGAAUGGGCUGCCAGAAGAGGUUGCUGAUCUCUCUUCCUUGGAUAUCUUCAAUGAAUGAAUGAAUGAAUGGAAAACCAUUUGUUAAGUGCAAGUCACAUGCUAAGUGUUAGGAAACAAAGAGGAAAAACAGGUCCCUCCUCUAAGAGAUUUCAUUCUAAAAGGGAAGAUAAUACAUGAAGGAGGUGUCAGCAACAACCUGCAGUUAGAAGGCAGAUUGUAAUUUUAGUAUUAUAGCCAUUGGCAAAAAUAUAGCCAUUUCUGGUGUUGAAUUAUUUGACAAUAACAAGUAUUUUAGUAGUGAGAACUUUCUC